AUUGAACGCUGGCGGCAGGCCUAACACAUGCAAGUCGAACGAGACCUUCGGGUCUAGUGGCGCACGGGUGCGUAACGCGUGGGAAUCUGCCCUUUGCUUCGGAAUAACAGUUAGAAAUGACUGCUAAUACCGGAUGAUGUCUUCGGACCAAAGAUUUAUCGGCAAAGGAUGAGCCCGCGUAGGAUUAGGUAGUUGGUGGGGUAAAGGCCUACCAAGCCGACGAUCCUUAGCUGGUCUGAGAGGAUGAUCAGCCACACUGGGACUGAGACACGGCCCAGACUCCUACGGGAGGCAGCAGUGGGGAAUAUUGGACAAUGGGCGAAGACCUGAUCCAGCAAUGCCG
This 343-nucleotide ribosomal RNA is filed under the name uncultured bacterium. RNAcentral's name for it is "bacterial SSU rRNA". It matches the Rfam family "Bacterial small subunit ribosomal RNA", at positions 30 to 399 of the family's 1533-position model. The record is from RNAcentral.